ACGAACGCUGGCGGCGUGCCUAAUACAUGCAAGUAGAACGCACAGUUUAUACCGUAGCUUGCUACACCAUAGACUGUGAGUUGCGAACGGGUGAGUAACGCGUAGGUAACCUGCCUGGUAGCGGGGGAUAACUAUUGGAAACGAUAGCUAAUACCGCAUAAUAUUAAUUAUUGCAUGAUAAUUAAUUGAAAGGUGCAAUUGCACCACUACCAGAUGGACCUGCGUUGUAUUAGCUAGUAGGUGAGGUAACGGCUCACCUAGGCGACGAUACAUAGCCGACCUGAGAGGGUGAUCGGCCACACUGGGACUGAGACACGGCCCAGACUCCUACGGGAGGCAGCAGUAGGGAAUCUUCGGCAAUGGACGAAAGUCUGACCGAGCAACGCCGCGUGAGUGAAGAAGGUUGUCGGAUCGUAAAGCUCUGUUGUAAGAGAAGAACGGGUGUGAGAGUGGAAAGUUCACACUGUGACGGUAUCUUACCAGAAAGGGACGGCUAACUACGUG
RNAcentral lists this ribosomal RNA (504 nucleotides) under uncultured bacterium. RNAcentral describes it as "partial 16S ribosomal RNA". It matches the Rfam family "Bacterial small subunit ribosomal RNA", at positions 29 to 507 of the family's 1533-position model. The record is from RNAcentral.